Molecule: transfer RNA, 94 nt
Filed under: Reyranella soli
Lineage: Bacteria; Pseudomonadati; Pseudomonadota; Alphaproteobacteria; Hyphomicrobiales; Reyranellaceae
Description: tRNA-Pro
Source: RNAcentral
CAUCGAUUGGCAGAGCGAGGUGCUGGUCACCUCGGGCGCGACCGAGGCGCUGGGCGACUGCCUGUUCGGCCUGAUCGAGCCGGGCGACGAGGUC